This 451-nucleotide ribosomal RNA is filed under the name uncultured bacterium. Its description in RNAcentral is "bacterial SSU rRNA". It matches the Rfam family "Bacterial small subunit ribosomal RNA", at positions 354 to 796 of the family's 1533-position model. The record is from RNAcentral.
GUAGGGAAUAUUGCGCAAUGGGGGAAACCCUGACGCAGCGACGCCGCGUGGGUGAUGAAGGCCUUCGGGUCGUAAAGCCCUGUCAAGAGAGACGAAAAACAGCUCCAAUAACAAGUGAGUUGCUUGACGGUACCUCUGGAGGAAGCACCGGCUAACUACGUGCCAGCAGCCGCGGUAAUACGUAGGGUGCAAGCGUUGUUCGGAAUUAUUGGGCGUAAAGCGCGUGUAGGUGGUUAGGAAAGUUGGAUGUGAAAGCCCUGGGCUCAACUCAGGAAGUGCAUCCAAAACUCCCUAGCUAGAGGGCGUGAGAGGGAGGUGGAAUUCCUAGUGUAGAGGUGAAAUUCGUAGAUAUUAGGAGGAAUACCGGUGGCGAAGGCGGCCUCCUGGAACGUUCCUGACACUGAGACGCGAAAGCGUGGGGAGCAAACAGGAUUAGAUACCCCGGUAGUCC